Molecule: ribosomal RNA, 253 nt
Filed under: Blautia obeum
Lineage: Bacteria; Bacillati; Bacillota; Clostridia; Lachnospirales; Lachnospiraceae
Description: partial 16S ribosomal RNA
Rfam family: Bacterial small subunit ribosomal RNA
Source: RNAcentral
UACGUAGGGGGCAAGCGUUAUCCGGAUUUACUGGGUGUAAAGGGAGCGUAGACGGACUGGCAAGUCUGAUGUGAAAGGCGGGGGCUCAACCCCUGGACUGCAUUGGAAACUGUUAGUCUUGAGUGCCGGAGAGGUAAGCGGAAUUCCUAGUGUAGCGGUGAAAUGCGUAGAUAUUAGGAGGAACACCAGUGGCGAAGGCGGCUUACUGGACGGUAACUGACGUUGAAGCUCGAAAGCGUGGGGAGCAAACAGG